Molecule: long non-coding RNA, 511 nt
Organism: Syngnathus acus (greater pipefish)
Lineage: Eukaryota; Metazoa; Chordata; Actinopteri; Syngnathiformes; Syngnathidae
Exons: 3
Source: RefSeq, a predicted model, not a curated record
UUGCAGCUCGGCCAGGAUCCCGUGGGCUUCCUCCAGAACGGCGCUGACCUGGUUCCACACGGCUGUCUCGGCCUCUGUAGGCUGGGCAUCUGAGACGAGAUGAAGGAAAAGAGGACGGGCAGAGAGUCAAUGGGUGAAGGUUUCAUCCAACUACCUAAUGUUGCAAGAGCGGGACUAGAGAGAGUCUGAUAACAAGAAACAACACCCACGACAAAACUCCAUCACACCAUCAGCAAAACCGGUCAAUUCUCCCUUACUGAUGAAUGGACGGACCAUGUGACACGCAUAUCUGGUGUCUGUAAAAAGAGGACAAAAUGAAGAAGAAAGGUAAGAAAAUCACUUUUUUUCUUUUUACAUACACACAAGAUGUUUCAUGUGAGCAUUUAUGACAUAUUUCAUGCCGAAGUUCAGUAUUUAGCAAGUCAUCAUGACCCCCACUGGCAGACCCCAUUCAACAAAAUUGCCGCUUAGCAACGGUUUAUUUUUAGUGUCUGACUCGGACGUAAACGUA